GAUGCUCCUUAAUCUCUUCUGGCUUUUUAAGUCACCUGUGCCUAUUCAAAAGGAUGUUGAAGGCAAGCAUGAAUCGAGAUCUCUAGAGAACUAACAAUCAAAGAUUUUCUUGAAACUUGGAUUGAGGAAGGUGAGAAGAUGAGACCAAAGGCCUCCCACGUUUGACUAGGAUUAUUGCACCUUUUUCCCUGACACAUAUUCUUUGAUUUAGUGACAUUGAAGUCCUGACUAUUCCAUGAACAAGACACCACAUCUGUCAGCUCCAGGUAUUAACUCUGGCUAUCUGCUAUCCCUGAAAUAUUAUCUCUCUUCAAUUCAGCCUACUGAUUUUUUCAAAUCUUAAAUAAA
Molecule: long non-coding RNA, 348 nt
Organism: Antechinus flavipes (yellow-footed antechinus)
Lineage: Eukaryota; Metazoa; Chordata; Mammalia; Dasyuromorphia; Dasyuridae
Exons: 3
Source: RefSeq, a predicted model, not a curated record